AUCAGCAACUCUUAUGAGCAUUUGAUUUGAAAUCAAAUAGUUUGCUUUUAUUAGCAAUGUUGGUU
RNAcentral lists this transfer RNA (65 nucleotides) under Rhodobothrium cf. paucitesticulare DJM-2021. RNAcentral's name for it is "tRNA-Ser". Lineage: Eukaryota; Metazoa; Platyhelminthes; Cestoda; Rhinebothriidea; Rhinebothriidae. The record is from RNAcentral.